This 880-nucleotide ribosomal RNA is filed under the name uncultured archaeon. RNAcentral's name for it is "bacterial SSU rRNA". It matches the Rfam family "Archaeal small subunit ribosomal RNA", at positions 40 to 928 of the family's 1478-position model. The record is from RNAcentral.
AGGACUAAGCCAUGCGAGUCAACGUAGCAAUACGUGGCAUACGGCUCAGUAACACGUAGUCAACAUGCCCAGGGGACGUGGAUAACCUCGGGAAACUGAGGAUAAACCGCGAUAGGUCAUAAUGUCUGGAAUGAUUUAUGGCUAAAAUCUACAUGGCCCCUGGAUUGGACUGCGGCCGAUCAGGCUGUUGGUGAGGUAAUGGCCCACCAAACCUAAAACCGGUACGGGCUCUGAGAGGAGAAGCCCGGAGAUGGGCACUGAGACAAGGGCCCAGGCCCUAUGGGGCGCAGCAGGCGCGAAAACUCUGCAAUAAGCGAAAGCUUGACAGGGUUAUUCUGAGUGAUUUCCGCUAAGGAGAUCUUUUGGCACCUCUAAAAAUGGUGCAGAAUAAGGGGUGGGCAAGCCUGGUGUCAGCCGCCGCGGUAAUACCAGCACCCCGAGUGGUCGGGACGAUUAUUGGGCCUAAAGCAUCCGUAGCCGGUUCUACAAGUCUUCCGUUAAAUCCACCUGCUUAACAGUUGGGCUGCAGAGGAUACUAUAGAGCUAGGAGGCGGGAGAGGCAAGCGGUACUUAGUGGGUAGGGGUAAAAUCCGUUGAUCCACUGAAGACCACCAGUGGCGAAGGCGGCUUGCCAGAACGCGCUCGACGGUGAGGGAUGAAAGCUGGGGGAGCAAACCGGAUUAGAUACCCGGGUAGUCCCAGCUGUAAACGAUGCAGACUCGGUGAUGAACAGGCUUCGUGCCUAUUCAGUGCCGCAGGGAAGCCGUUAAGUCUGCCGCCUGGGGAGUACGGUCGCAAGACUGAAACUUAAAGGAAUUGGCGGGGGAGCACCACAAGGGGUGAAGCCUGCGGUUCAAUUGGAUUCAACGCCGGAAUCGUC